AGGACGAACGCUGGCGGCGUGCCUAACACGUGCAAGUCGAACGAGGCUUAUCCGGUAGCAAUACCGGAGACUGCCUAGUGGCGAACGGGUGAGUAGCACGUGAGCAACCUGCCCCGAAGACUGGGAUAACACCGGGAAACCGGUGCUAAUACCAGAUGCCCCCACCGGAUCGCAUGAUCUGGUGAGGAAAUGGAUUCCGCUUCGGGAGGGGCUCGCGGCCUAUCAGCUAGUUGGUGAGGUAACGGCUCACCAAGGCUUCGAUGGGUAGCUGGUCUGAGAGGACGAUCAGCCACACUGGGACUGAGACACGGCCCAGACUCCUACGGGAGGCAGCAGUGGGGAAUCUUGCACAAUGGGCGAAAGCCUGAUGCAGCAACGCCGCGUGAGGGACGAAGGCUUUCUGAGUUGUAAACCUCUUUCAGCAGGGACGAUUGUGACGGUACCUGCAGAGAGCCCGGCAACUACGUGCCAGCAGCCG
This 478-nucleotide ribosomal RNA is filed under the name uncultured bacterium. RNAcentral's name for it is "SSU rRNA". It matches the Rfam family "Bacterial small subunit ribosomal RNA", at positions 26 to 517 of the family's 1533-position model. The record is from RNAcentral.